GCACUGGGAUAGCCUCGGAACCGAGGUUAAUACCGGAUACUCCAUAUUUGUCGCAUGGCGAAUAUGGGAAAGCUCCGGCGGCAAAGGAUGGGCCCGCGGCCUGUUAGCUAGUUGGUGGGGUAGUGGCCUACCAAGGCAAUGAUGGGUAGCCGGGUUGAGAGACCGACCGGCCAGAUUGGGACUGAGACACGGCCCAGACUCCUACGGGAGGCAGCAGGC
RNAcentral lists this ribosomal RNA (219 nucleotides) under uncultured Atopobium sp. Its description in RNAcentral is "partial 16S ribosomal RNA". It matches the Rfam family "Bacterial small subunit ribosomal RNA", at positions 135 to 354 of the family's 1533-position model. The record is from RNAcentral. Lineage: Bacteria; Bacillati; Actinomycetota; Coriobacteriia; Coriobacteriales; Atopobiaceae.